This 465-nucleotide ribosomal RNA is filed under the name Vreelandella stevensii. Its description in RNAcentral is "partial 16S ribosomal RNA". It matches the Rfam family "Bacterial small subunit ribosomal RNA", at positions 338 to 795 of the family's 1533-position model. The record is from RNAcentral. Lineage: Bacteria; Pseudomonadati; Pseudomonadota; Gammaproteobacteria; Oceanospirillales; Halomonadaceae.
CCUACGGGCGGCUGCAGUGGGGAAUAUUGGACAUUGGGGGCAACCCUGAUCCAGCCAUGCCGCGUGUGUGAAGAAGGCCCUCGGGUUGUAAAGCACUUUCAGUGAGGAAGAACGCCUGGUGGUUAAUACCCAUCAGGAAAGACAUCACUCACAGAAGAAGCACCGGCUAACUCCGUGCCAGCAGCCGCGGUAAUACGGAGGGUGCGAGCGUUAAUCGGAAUUACUGGGCGUAAAGCGCGCGUAGGUGGCUUGAUAAGCCGGUUGUGAAAGCCCCGGGCUCAACCUGGGAACGGCAUCCGGAACUGUCAAGCUAGAGUGCAGGAGAGGAAGGUAGAAUUCCCGGUGUAGCGGUGAAAUGCGUAGAGAUCGGGAGGAAUACCAGUGGCGAAGGCGGCCUUCUGGACUGACACUGACACUGAGGUGCGAAAGCGUGGGUAGCAAACAGGAUUAGAUACCCCAGUAGUC